GACGAACGCUGGCGGCGUGCUUAACACAUGCAAGUCGAACGGAAAGGCCCUGCUUUUGUGGGGUGCUCGAGUGGCGAAAGGGUGAGUAACACGUGAGUAACCUGCCCUUGACUUUGGGAUAACUUCAGGAAACUGGGGCUAAUACCGGAUAGGAGCUCCUGCUGCAUGGUGGGGGUUGGAAAGUUUCGGCGGUUGGGGAUGGACUCGCGGCUUAUCAGCUUGUUGGUGGGGUAGUGGCUUACCAAGGCUUUGACGGGUAGCCGGCCUGAGAGGGUGACCGGCCACAUUGGGACUGAGAUACGGCCCAGACUCCUACGGGAGGCAGCAGUGGGGAAUAUUGCCCAAUGGGCGGAAGCCUGAUGCAGCAACGCCGCGUGCGGGAUGACGGCCUGCGGGUUGUAAACCGCUUUCGCCUGUGACGAAGCGUGAGUGACGGUAAUGGGUAAAGAAGCACCGGCUAACUACGUG
Molecule: ribosomal RNA, 468 nt
Filed under: uncultured bacterium
Lineage: Bacteria
Description: partial 16S ribosomal RNA
Rfam family: Bacterial small subunit ribosomal RNA
Source: RNAcentral